GCCAUCUUAGCUCAAUUGGUAGAGCACUUGGUUUACAAUCAUGUAGCUGUGGGUUCGAUUCCCAUAGACGGCA
Papaver somniferum (opium poppy) is the source of this 73-nucleotide non-coding RNA. The record is from the annotation of a RefSeq genome assembly. Lineage: Eukaryota; Viridiplantae; Streptophyta; Magnoliopsida; Ranunculales; Papaveraceae.